RNAcentral lists this ribosomal RNA (459 nucleotides) under Dioszegia crocea. RNAcentral's name for it is "eukaryotic LSU rRNA". It matches the Rfam family "Eukaryotic large subunit ribosomal RNA", at positions 216 to 665 of the family's 3401-position model. Lineage: Eukaryota; Fungi; Basidiomycota; Tremellomycetes; Tremellales; Bulleribasidiaceae. The record is from RNAcentral.
CAAUCCCGUACUUGACAUGACUACCGAUGUUCUGUGAUACAUUUUCUACGAGUCGAGUUGUUUGGGAAUGCAGCUCUAAAUGGGUGGUAAAUUCCAUCUAAAGCUAAAUAUUGGUGAGAGACCGAUAGCGAACAAGUACCGUGAGGGAAAGAUGAAAAGCACUUUGGAAAGAGAGUUAAACAGUACGUGAAAUUGUUGAAAGGGAAACGAUUGAAGUCAGUCAUGUCUGUUGGUUUCAGCUUGCCCUGCAAGUGUAUUACCUUCAGACGGGUCAACAUCAGUUUUGGUGCGGUGGAUAAGAGCGGAUUGAAGGUGGCACCCUCGGGUGUGUUAUAGCUUUCUGUUGCAUACACUGCCUGAGACUGAGGACUGCAGCUCGCCUUUAUGGCCGCCCCUCGGGGACGUUCGAGCUUAGGAUGUUGGCAUAAUGGCUUUAAACGACCCGUCUUGAACCACGGA